This 70-nucleotide transfer RNA is filed under the name Acaryochloridaceae cyanobacterium RU_4_10. RNAcentral's name for it is "tRNA-Phe". It matches the Rfam family "tRNA". Rfam says of the family: Transfer RNA (tRNA) molecules are approximately 80 nucleotides in length. Their secondary structure includes four short double-helical elements and three loops (D, anti-codon, and T loops). Lineage: Bacteria; Bacillati; Cyanobacteriota; Cyanophyceae; Acaryochloridales; Acaryochloridaceae. The record is from RNAcentral.
GACUGAUUAGCUCAGGGGUAGAGCACCUGGAAAUCCCAGGCGGUCGUAGGUUCGACUCCUAUAUCAGCCA